This 264-nucleotide ribosomal RNA is filed under the name uncultured bacterium. Its description in RNAcentral is "partial 16S ribosomal RNA". It matches the Rfam family "Bacterial small subunit ribosomal RNA", at positions 1236 to 1500 of the family's 1533-position model. The record is from RNAcentral.
CAUACAGAGGGAGGCGAAGGGGUGACCCGGAGCAGACCCCAGAAAAGGCGCCCAGUUCGGAUCGCAGCCUGCAACCCGGCUGCGUGAAGCUGGAAUCGCUAGUAAUCGCGGAUCAGAAUGCCGCGGCGAAUACGUUCCCGGGCCUUGUACACACCGCCCGUCAAACCAUGAGAGUUGGCAACACCCGAAGUCGGUAGUCUAACCGCAAGGAGGACGCCGCCGAAGGUGGGGUUGAUGAUUAGGGUUAAGUCGUAACAAGGUACC